GACGAACGCUGGCGGCGUGCUUAACACAUGCAAGUCGAACGAUGAAGCCUAAGCUUGCUUGGGUGGAUUAGUGGCGAACGGGUGAGUAACACGUGGGUGAUCUGCCCCGCACUUCGGGAUAAGCCUGGGAAACUGGGUCUAAUACCGGAUACGACCCCCUGGUAGGUCAGGGGGUGGAAAGAUUUAUCGGUGUGGGAUGAGCCUGCGGCCUAUCAGCUUGUUGGUGGGGUAAUGGCCUACCAAGGCGUCGACGGGUAGCCGGCCUGAGAGGGUGAUCGGCCACAUUGGGACUGAGACACGGCCCAG
RNAcentral lists this ribosomal RNA (306 nucleotides) under uncultured bacterium. RNAcentral describes it as "bacterial SSU rRNA". It matches the Rfam family "Bacterial small subunit ribosomal RNA", at positions 28 to 334 of the family's 1533-position model. The record is from RNAcentral.